AGCAGUGAUGUGGAGCAAAACUCAAAAAAAUAAGUCUCAGUUCGGAUUGAAGGCUGAAAUUCGCCUUCAUGAAGCCGGAAUUGCUAGUAAUGGCAGGUCAGCAUACUGCCGUGAAUACGUUCCCGGGCCUUGUACACACCGCCCGUCACACCAUGAGAGUUGGGAAUACCCGAAGCCUGUGAGCUAACUUUUAGAGGCAGCAGUCGGAGGUAGAAUCAAUGAUUGGGGUGAAGUCGUAACAAGGUAAC
RNAcentral lists this ribosomal RNA (248 nucleotides) under uncultured bacterium. Its description in RNAcentral is "partial 16S ribosomal RNA". It matches the Rfam family "Bacterial small subunit ribosomal RNA", at positions 1253 to 1500 of the family's 1533-position model. The record is from RNAcentral.